ACCACUGGUGGGCUUUCAUUCUCCUAAUAGACAGGAACUUACUUAAGAGCUGAGUGAGUUAUUGUCUUUUUUUUUUUUUUUUCUUGCCAAAGUAAUGUUGGUUUAACUGAAGUGACCGUGACUCUUGAGAGGUCAUUUCCUACCCAUGAAUGUCAAGGUGUUGGUUCAAGAGCCCAGCUUCUUCUCAAUGAUCUUGGUAGAACUCACCCUUCUCUGACAUUCUUUGGUUUAACUUCUGAAUAUCUCAACUCUGUCCAGUCAAUGCAGGAGAUCAGUGUUACAAACACUUGACUAAGAGCAUCUUUCUAGGAAUGGUGUUGAACUUCACUGGGAAUCCUAGAGAGGGAAAUGCAGUUUUUAGGAUACCUGGUUUCAUUUUUGUUGCAAUCUAGGCCUUUGCUGACGCUAAGGGUCCACGGUUGUCCUCUUGGGUUCCCAGUGUUAGGGGGGUGGACUAGGAUAGUUGCAAGCGUAGUUGUAGAAGUCCCAGUAAGGGACCAUAGAUAGAGAGGGAAACCUAGGGAACUUUGGGAGAUGACUGUAAGUUAGUAAUUGCUCAAGAGAGCCAUCAGAACAAGGCAGGCUUGCUUGACUAGUAGAAGCACGAGAUAUGCCUCAGGUCAUUGGGUGGGGGAUGGGGUCAGGUUGGCAUUCAGGUUCAGACUAAGGGCAGGUGUUGAAAGACCACCUUUCUGCUGAUUUGAAUAAGUACCAUGACAGUCCUAGUUUGAUCCUAUAGGGUCAAAUACUCUUACUGGAUACCAAGGAGGAAUUACUACUGGAAGAAAGAGGAGGUGGUCUUUUCCCACCCCCACUCCCCUGGUUUAUAAAACUGUAGCCCACCUAAUCCUCAGGGCAGAGCCCCUUUGCCUGCCCACUUGCAUCUCUCACAAGCAUCUUAUCUUAAUACAUCUAUUUCUUGCCUAUCACUUUGUCUCUCACUGGAUUCCUCUUGCACUGAGGCACAAAGAACCUGGACCUCAGUAAGUCCAGAUGCUGGGUGAGUGAUUCUAAUUUAAAAACCAUGGGUUCAAGUAACAAUCUGGUUGUUUAGGCUGCAUUCGAGUCCUGGCCCGUGGGUUCAAGUCCUAAUUUGGGUUUAGGCUGCGUUCAAGUCAUAACUAUUGUCAGUUUCAGCAGGAUCUCUGAAUUUCUUUAUCAACUGCCUGAUGCUUGGUGGGCCUACUGGAGGAUGAUUAAGGGGACAAAGUGUUCCUUAAGUUACCUUCUUUUCUUUGUAAGAUUAGAAAGAACCCCCCCAUUUUUUUCAACACAAAGAAUAUCAUGGACUUGUUACUUCAUAUAACCCAGAUAUUAUAGAAAAGAGGAAUAAUUUCUGGGUCCAGGGAGGCAUAUAGAGUCUGCCUGGAGGGCUGGUUAGGGAGAAAGGUGCAUCGGGUGUUGGGCCACCUCAACUCAGAAGCUGGUGAAGUGAUGGCACUAGAUCAUCAGAGGUGAGGGGUUAGAAAGUCCCUGGGGAGAGCAGAGGACUAGACAAGGGAACAGGCUAAUGUGAUGUUGGGUGUAUCUCUUCCUCGCCACAGGUUGCUCUGCAGCUUGUCUUUGAAUCUGUUCAGAGUAAAAGCUCUUGAAGGAAUGAGAUAGACAGAGAUAAGAUUUUUUUUUUUGGCUGCCCCAUGGCAUGCGGAAGUUCCUGUGCCAGGGAUUGAACCUGUGCCACAGCAGAGACCUAAGCCACUGCAGUGACCAUGCUGGAUCCUUAACCUACCGUACCACAAGGGAACUCCAGAUCCUUUGUUUUUGCUUGGACUGCUAUAACAGGAUACCACAGACAGGGUGGCUUAUAAACCACAGAAAUUUGUUUCUCUUCUUGUUCUGGAAGCUGGAAGUCCAAGAUCAUGUUGCCAGCACAGCUGAGUUUUGGUGAAGGCCCACUUUAGAGCUGUGGAUUGCCAAUUUCUUGCUGUGGCCUCGUGCAGUGGAAGGGGCAAGGGAUUUCUCCAGUGCCCUCCUUUUAAGGGCACUAAUUUCAGUCAUGAGGGUUCCACCCUCAUGUUCUAAUCACCUCCUAGUACCAUCACAUUAGGCACUGGGAGUCAAAUGUCUGAAUUCCAGUUUUCAGGGGCACAAACACUGAGACCACAGCACUCCUCUGCGUUGUCUUCAUCCCUGCCCUCAGAUGUUCCUUGCUGCCUGUUGAUCGGCUCCCACUCUAUCAUCUCCACUAGGCUCCAAAGACUGGGCUUUGCAACAUGGAGUCCAGUCCUGCUGAUGACUUUUGCAAUUGGUUGUCCCAACUCUGAAAUCUAAAAUUUCCCUAAAGAUCUGAAAUUAGUUCCUUCCUCUCCUCCCUCUUCUUUCUUUUUAUAGCCACACUUGUGACAUAUAUAAGUUCCCAGGCUAGGAGUCAAAUCAGAGCUGCAGCAACACUGAGUCCUUAACCCACUGAGUGAGGCCAGGGAUCGAACCCACAUCCUCAUGGAUACUAGUCAGAUUCUUAACCCGCUGAGCCACAACAGCAACUCCACCUUGUGCUUCUAAGUCUUAACCCCUUGAGAUGUCUCCAGGAGCAACCCUCACCCCAUUAAGGGGCUCCUCAAAGCUAACUGUGGAUAUAGUCAGCCAGCACCCUUGCUAAAAACCCCAAGAGGAACUGAGGAUGAAGACAAAAGUCCUAUUAGGCUGGCAUUUAUCAUCUUAUUUGUUCAAAUUAGAAGAGUGAAGCUUAAAGAGGUAGUGUCACUGCCCAAGUUCUUAAAUCCAGAAAGUGAAGUUGCUACAUCCAGAGCUUCCAUCUGUCUCACUCCAAUCCUAGCUUUCCGUCCUCUGUCCUCAGUGUCUUGAAAGGGACAGUCUGAAAGUUCAAGUCCAUGGAAAUUGGGAUGAGUCUGGGCAUGGUUCACAUGUUAGACAUAGGCUGUCAAUUUUGGGUGAACAGUUUAUGAGGAGAUGGGAUUAUCUUUUAAUGGACCUGGGUCAUAUCUUUCCAGGAGAAAAGUCAAAGGAGUGGGCAAGGCCCAGCCAAGGCAGAACAAGAGGAUGAAGAACAGGAAAUGCAUCAGAAGGAAGAGGAAAAGUACCCAAGGGAAAAACUCUUUCUAGUAAGGGCAGCAAGCAAGUCAAUGGAUUCAUUUCAGGUGCGUGGGCUAAUGGAGGCUAGUUUCAAACAAGUGGCUCAGCGGUUAACAAAUCUAACUAGGAACCAUGAGGUUUUGGGUUCGAUCCCUGACCUCCUCAUUGGGUUAAGGAUCCAGCGUUGCCAUGAGCUGAGGUGUAGGUCACAGAUGCAGCUCAGAUCCUGCGUUGCUAUGGCUGUGGUAUAGGCCAGCAGCCACAGCUCUGAUUUGACCCCUAGCCUGGCAACCUCCAUAUGCCACGGGUAUGGCCCUAAAAAAAGCAAAAAAACAAAACAAAACAAAACAAAAACCAAAAAAACCCCAAGUUUCCUGCACAUGGAACUUUCUUUCCUGGUCUGCUGGCAAAUCAGAGGCUUACUACAUACACCUAGUUGUUUAUGCUGUAUUAAAACUUAUUAUGGACAGUUGAAUUUCUAAUCAAUGCUUAGCUCUUUCAUAACCUGACUAUUCCCAGCAUAAUGGCAAAACUGAAAAAGAUCCCAGGAAACAAAAUCAAUUGUCACCACUUCUUAUGAAUUUGGGAAAGUUUCUUCCCAUCCCUGUUCUCUCUUAGCUUCUCAGCUUUUAGUUUUAAGCUGGGUGAUUAUAUUUUUAUUGUUCAAGCUUAGACAGUUUUGACAGAAUAGGGAGCUAUUUAUAAUUAUUCCAGGACAUUUGAUCUCCCUUUGAUAAAUAGUUCUCAUAAACAUGCCUCUCUGGUGUCUAAGCACUCUCAGCUCAGAAGCAGCAGAGGUAGGGCAGGUGCGUGGAGCACUGGGUCAAGUGAAAGUGGACAGAUUAGCAACGUGAAAAAUGACAGAAACACUAAAACAGCAGAUAGAAGCACAUAGCCGAUGGUUUUAGGCCAUCUAUCCUGAGGUAGUUUGGAAAGUUUACAUAAUUCAACUCAAGGAUUUACAAAUUUGUCACAUUCGUAUUAAAGAUCUGAUCCAAAGGGAAACGGCAAAGUGGAGUCAACAUUUGAUUUAUUGUUCCUAUUGAGUUUUAUGAAAAUAGCAUGUGCUUUUAUUUUAUAGUUUUUAGGAGAUAGCACCAAGAUAUUUAUCUUCCCUAGUAGACGUAAGAACAGGCAGAGUCGGUGUUGGUAGAAUGACCAAAGCAAGACCUUUAAUCUAGAUUCUUAAAUUGUACACUGUCAUGAAAUGGUUUGUCUUAAGGAAAGAAAUCUAAUGAGUUUAUUUGAUGCCAUUACUUUAAAAAUUAUUUCCAUUUCUCUCAUUGCAAUAUUUUUCCAGGAUCUUUAAUUAGUCCUGAUGGACUCAACCCCUGGUUUCUCUUUCCAGGUGAAAAAUGCAUCUCUUUCAGCUACUAUUCCUCCCUCUUUUUCAUUUUUUUCCCCUCUAGAUCAAAGUUACCACGAUGACAGAGUAGCUUGGGUGCAGGAGAGAAUGCUGAGGAUGUUUGGUUCCUGGUGAUUCGUACCUCAAUGCUAUCCCACAGAGCAAGUGACACUGCCUUGCCUUGGCCUCUGCCAUUCCUGCCAGGGAACCAGAAAUAGUCCAUGAGGCACCUCCCUGGGAUAAACAGAACAGCAUUUGUGUGCUAUUGUGGGCCUUAUCCUGUACUUUCUACUAUAACCUGUAGUAGAAAGGUUAUACUUUCCAUAUAUACAUCCCAGAGGGGAGGGGGGUUGAGGGCACAGGCAAAAUCAGGGAAGGAGGUUAAGAGAUACAGUUAUGAACUAGGUCACCGGGUUGAAAUGUAGAGCAUAGAGAAUAUUGCCAAUAAUAUUGAAAUAACUUUGUGUGGUGGCAGAUGGUAACUAAACUUAUUAUGGUGAUCAUUCGUGAUAUAUAAAAAUCAAGAUGUACACCUGAGGGAGUUCCCAUCGUGGCACAGCAGAAACGAAUCCGACUAGGAACCAUGAGGUUGCCGGUUCGAUCCCUGGCCUCACUCAGUGGGUUAAGGAUCCAGCGUUGCUGUGAGCUGUGGUGUCGGUUGCAGACGUGGCUUAGAUCUGGCAUUGCUGUGGCUCUGGUGCAGGCCGGCAGCUACAGCUCCGAUUAGACCCAGAGCCUGGGAACCUCCACAUGCCACGGGUGUGGCCCUAAAAGGACAAAAAGACAAAAAAAAAAAAAA
Molecule: long non-coding RNA, 5177 nt
Filed under: Sus scrofa (pig)
Lineage: Eukaryota; Metazoa; Chordata; Mammalia; Artiodactyla; Suidae
Description: lncRNA (ENSSSCG00025046828.1)
Source: RNAcentral